GACGAACGCUGGUGGCGUGCUUAACACAUGCAAGUCGAACGAUGAAGCCUUCGGGUGGAUUAGUGGCGAACGGGUGAGUAACGCGUGGGCAAUCUGCCCUGUACUUUGGGAUAAGCCUUGGAAACGGGUCUAAUACCGGAUAUCACUUCUGACCGCAUGGUUGGUUGUUGAAAGUUCUGGCGGUACAGGAUGAGCCCGCGGCCUAUCAGCUUGUUGGUGGGGUAAUGGCCUACCAAGGCGACGACGGGUAGCCGGCCUGAGAGGGUGACCGGCCACACUGGGACUGAGACACGGCCCAGACUCCUACGGGAGGCAGCAGUGGGGAAUAUUGCACAAUGGGCGAAAGCCUGAUGCAGCGACGCCGCGUGAGGGAUGACGGCCUCGGUUGUAAC
RNAcentral lists this ribosomal RNA (392 nucleotides) under uncultured bacterium. Its description in RNAcentral is "bacterial SSU rRNA". It matches the Rfam family "Bacterial small subunit ribosomal RNA", at positions 28 to 429 of the family's 1533-position model. The record is from RNAcentral.